GCGAGGCUCGUCUAAAUAGGACAGCUGAUUUCGACUCAGCAAAUUAUGUUUUAAUCAUAGCCCCACA
Molecule: transfer RNA, 67 nt
Filed under: Potamotyphlus kaupii
Lineage: Eukaryota; Metazoa; Chordata; Amphibia; Gymnophiona; Typhlonectidae
Description: tRNA-Arg
Source: RNAcentral